Molecule: ribosomal RNA, 1641 nt
Filed under: Triticum aestivum (bread wheat)
Lineage: Eukaryota; Viridiplantae; Streptophyta; Magnoliopsida; Poales; Poaceae
Description: partial small subunit ribosomal RNA
Source: RNAcentral
AUGAAUUCCCUCUCCAACCUCCUCGCCCCCCGCGCGCGCCCUUCCCUCCCGCUCCCGCUCCCGCUCCGCGCCGCCGCCCCGGCCACCAGCAGCGCCAGAGCGGCGGCACCGGCCCCGCGACGGUGGCGGCAGCGCGCGCGGCUGCCCUCGCCGGUCUCGGCCGUGGCGGCGGAGGCGCCCUCGGCAGCGUCGCUGAUUGAUGGCGAGGAGAAGGAGAAGGAGGAGGGGCAGUUCGACUGGCUGGACCAGUGGUACCCGCUGGCCCCCGUGUGCGACCUGGACCCCGGCGCGCCGCACGGCAAGACGGUGCUGGGCCUCCGCGUGGUGGCCUGGUACGACCGCGCCGUGGACGAGUGGCGCGUGUUCGACGACGCCUGCCCGCACCGCCUGGCGCCGCUCUCCGAGGGCCGCAUCGACGACAAGGGCCGCCUCCAGUGCGUCUACCACGGCUGGUGCUUCGACGGCCGCGGCGCCUGCCAGUUCAUCCCACAGGCCCCCGCCCUCGGCCCACCUGUGCACAAGAACAGCAAGGCGUGCGUGGCGUCGUACCCGAGCGUGGUGCAGAACAACAUCCUGUGGUUCUACCCGAGGGCCGACGAGGAGCACCGGGACGUGUUGCAGAGGAAGCGCCCGCCAUUCAUCCCGGAGAUCGACGACCCCUCCUUCGUCACCGUCUACGGCGUCAGGGACCUCCCCUACGGGUACGAUGUGCUGGUGGAGAACCUCAUGGACCCUGCCCAUGUCCCCUACGCGCACAAGGGGUUGAUGGGCAAGUUUUGCAAGAAGGAAGACCUCGGCAGAGUUGAGUUCGACAUCGAAGGCGGUGGGCCGAUAAAGAUGAAGACGAAGGAGGCGAACGUGGACGGGUUCCUGACGGAGCAGCAGGAGAACCGCGGCUACUUCCGGUACGUCGCGCCGUGCACCUUCUACGGCUCGCCGCUUCCCAGAGAGGUCGCACCGUUCGCCGUCGACGACUCGCCGCUUCCCAGUGAGGCCACGGAAGAGGAGAAGAAGAAGAAGCCCCAGUUCAUGAUGGUGUUCAUGUGCAUCCCAGUGGCGCCGGGGAAGAGCAGGGUGAUCUGGGCCUUGCCGAGGAACGUCGGCGUCUGGCUCGACAAGGUCAUACCGCGGUGGUACUACCACAUGGGCCCGAACGCCCUCUUUGACUCGGACAUGUACCUCCUCCACGUCGAGGAGCGCAACUUCGCCGCGGCCGGCGUCGAAAACUGGCACAAAGCCGUGUACGUGCCCACGUCGUCGGACAACAUGGUGAUCGCCUUCAGAAACUGGUUCAGAAAGCAUUGCAAGAGCCAGGUCGGCUGGGCCGUCCCCACAGCCGAUCAGCUGCCGGUGACUCCAACCAAAGACAAGCUCAUGGAGAGGUACUGGUCGCACGUGGCGCAGUGCAGGAGCUGCAGCGCGGCGUUGAAGGCCAUGAAGGCGCUGGAGGUCGCCCUGCAGUUCGCGUCGGUUGCGGUCGUCGGGUUCCUCGCCGUCGCCAAGGGGACGCUGGUGACGUCGGUCGUGCAGAGAGCCGCCGUCGUGUCCUUGGCCGUGCUGUGCUUCGGGGCGUCCCGCUGGCUGGCGAGCUUCAUCCAGAAGAACUUCUAUUUCCAUGAUUACAUCCAUGCUUACAAGUGA